RNAcentral lists this ribosomal RNA (443 nucleotides) under Rhodosorus marinus. Its description in RNAcentral is "partial Bacterial large subunit ribosomal RNA". It matches the Rfam family "Bacterial large subunit ribosomal RNA", at positions 727 to 1164 of the family's 2925-position model. Lineage: Eukaryota; Rhodophyta; Stylonematophyceae; Stylonematales; Stylonemataceae. The record is from RNAcentral.
GAUCUACCCAUGGGCAGGUUGAAGCUGUGGUAACACACAGUGGAGGACCGAACCAGUUGACGUUGAAAAGUCUUUGGAUGACCUGUGGGUAGGGGUGAAAGGCCAAUCAAACUCGGAAAUAGCUCGUACUCCCCGAAAUGCAUUUAGGUGCAGCGUUGAGUAAAAGUUUUAUAGAGGUAGAGCUACUGAUUGGAUGCGGGGGCUUCACCGCCUACCAAUUCCUGACAAACUCCGAAUGCUAUAAAAUGUUUCUCAGCAGUGAGGGCAUGGGUGCUAAGGUCCAUGUCCGAGAGGGAAAGAACCCAGACCAUCAGCUAAGGUCCCCAAAUAUAUGUUAAGUUGAAUAAACGAGGUUUGACUGCCCAGACAGCUAGGAUGUUGGCUUGGAAGCAGCCAUUCAUUUAAAGAGUGCGUAACAGCUGACUAGUCGAGCGGUCGAGCAU